GCUCGCUUGGUUCAAUGGUUAGAAUCUCCGCUUCCCAAGCACAACCGCGCUGUUUCUAGCGGAGGAUCCGAGUUCGAUUCUCGGGGCGAGCA
Molecule: transfer RNA, 92 nt
Filed under: Coniochaeta sp. 2T2.1
Lineage: Eukaryota; Fungi; Ascomycota; Sordariomycetes; Coniochaetales; Coniochaetaceae
Rfam family: tRNA
About the family: Transfer RNA (tRNA) molecules are approximately 80 nucleotides in length. Their secondary structure includes four short double-helical elements and three loops (D, anti-codon, and T loops). Further hydrogen bonds mediate the characteristic L-shaped molecular structure. tRNAs have two regions of fundamental functional importance: the anti-codon, which is responsible for specific mRNA codon recognition, and the 3' end, to which the tRNAs corresponding amino acid is attached (by aminoacyl-tRNA synthetases). tRNAs cope with the degeneracy of the genetic code in two manners: having more than one tRNA (with a specific anti-codon) for a particular amino acid; and 'wobble' base-pairing, i.e. permitting non-standard base-pairing at the 3rd anti-codon position.
Source: Rfam by way of RNAcentral